CUGAGCUUGCUGCCCAGGGAGUGACCGAAGACUGCCGGGAGCAGCAGUGACACUUCAGGCCUGCCUCUGUGGACCACUCCAAAGCCCCUGGCGGCUGGGCAGGAAGGUGCGCCUUUGUUGAGAGGCAAGAGUGUUUGUUGGGUUUGUGUAGCCCACUGGGGUUGCACCUCCCUAAAGUUUGGGCUUCUUCUUGUCUCUUUGCCACCAUCCUGUCUGAGCUGGGGUCUGCCUGGAAAAGGGGCGCCCUCAGUUUGUACUUGUGGGAGCUUGGACUGGAGCUACCUCAGUGCACAGGUGGGCCCGGCCUGGUGACCUGGAAGGGAUCAGCAGGGACUACCACACUCCCAGCUUCUGGUCAGCUUCUCGUACCUCAGAUUUUAUUUGCAAUAAAGACUCUAUAGCCAAC
This 406-nucleotide long non-coding RNA is filed under the name Rattus norvegicus (Norway rat). RNAcentral's name for it is "long non-coding RNA NONRATT030817". The record is from RNAcentral. Lineage: Eukaryota; Metazoa; Chordata; Mammalia; Rodentia; Muridae.